ACGAAACGGCCCAAACAUGUUUCAUCAUUUCAUGAACCAUUUUCCACUCAAAAAACCCACCCACCCUUGAUCAAAAAUUGAUUGCCCUAUUUCGAAAGAAGCUGCCUUCGACGAGAGCAGUCCACCUCUACUCCUCCUCCCACCUCUGAGCUUAUCCACAAACUGACGCUUCUUUCGACGAGAGUAGUCCACCUCUACUCCUCCUCCCACCUCCGAGCCAAGCUUAUCCACAAACCGACGUUGCCUCCUAAGGUUAUUAGAGAUAUUCUUCAUGCGAUUCCCCUCUCGUGAAGGCACAGGACGAUCCAUCUUCUCAAGUUGCAGAACAACGUCGUACGUUCGCACUCCCGUGACCUAGUACCACUGCAAGAGGGUUGCAGAGACGCUCCCGUGACAUACUACUGCUGCAAGAGGGUUGCAGAGAUGCAGCUUUAAAAUAGGACUUCGGGAGACCUAUUUUACCUUCGAUUGUUCAAGAUCGUUGCAUUGUGCGACUGGAUUUUUGUCCUGUGCAUUUCAGCCUUUGGUGCCCUAGGUAUGUAGUUGGAUUUUUUAAACUAUUGAUUCCCUACCCUGAUAAUCGUUGAUUGCUAGCUAGCAGGCCUCUCUUCUGGGGUUUUGACAUCCCUCUUUGACUUAGGGUUUUCCAUGAUCUACCCUUCCAGUAGAUGUAGAUGGUAGUUCAUCAGAGUCUCUCUCUCUAACAAACUUCGGCACCCAUUUAUAGUUUGAGAAUUUCAUUCCGUUGGUCUCUUGUACCAUCGAUUGUUCAAGGUAAAUCCGUUGUGCGACUGGAAUUAGUGGAAAUCCUUUGAAGAUCGUUGGAUACCCGAUACGUUUCUGAAGGAAUGUGAAAGUUUCUUAUUGAGGAAAAGAGCCACCACUGGUUAUGCGAUUUUUGGCCAUUGUUUGAUUUAAAGAUUUAUAUAUGUUUCACCACUUAAAAUGCUCUGUUUCUGCCUUCUGUUGUAAUGUACUAAAGCCUUUACUCUGUCUAUAAUAGAGGGUUUCGUUUCUACCUUAGUUCCUUUGACAUGGCUGAGUCCUAAAUGAGGAAAUUAGGCUUAUCAGUUCACUUUCAUUAUGAAUGCAGUAUAGUAUUGAGACUAUGUUCCUAUUGAAGCUUUUGCUUUGUAAUUUUUUUCUUAGGAAGCAAGUGGGGGAAGUUUUCACACUCUUUUGUGAUCAUUAAUCAAAAGAGGUUAUGUUGCAUUUUUGUUCAAAGUAACUAUUUGACAUUGAAAUUUUCUACACUAAACUCUUGUAUGGAUACCAUCUUGAUAUGUAUAAGUAUUUGAUUGAAGAGGGUUGGUAGGUUGUUGUGAGAUUGUUUUUUCCCCAAUAUUUACCUUAUGGUGGACAUGUACAUGGAUCAUCGGCUCAUUGAAAACUGUUUUCUUAUUUAUAUUUUUUUAUCUUCCAUCCACCCACUUCAUUAUGGUUCCUUUUUUAUGAUUACUUCAAACACCAUUUCCAACAUUACUUCAUUAUUAUUGUCAUUGUUGUGUUUUAUUUAUUGCCAAUAUCUAUUCUUCCCUAGUAAAUAAAAGGUUAAUGAAGUAUAUGGUACUAUUUAUAUGCAUUAGUGACCUAUGUCAGUGUUUCAAAUUUUCUUUGAGUUUGAUCCUGUAAAUUCUACUUAUUCUCUCCAGCUCUCUGCCUCCCUCUACCUCAAAGUAAUCUUUAACAUCAUUUCUUAAUUUUUAACCUCCUACACCUUUUAAGGAUUGCAUGUUUAGAUGUGAACCUAAUGCAUUGGAUAUAUUUGCACAUCCUUCUAUUUUCCAUUUUUUUUUUAAACACAACUUUUAUUUAUAUCAUUGAUAGAAGUUAUAUUGAUGCAAGUAUGGAAUGAGGCAGUUCAUCAAGUUUGUUAUUAUAUAAGCACAAUUUAUGUGAAUGCAACUAAUUUAGAUAUUUGGAAUGUUUGCUAAAUUACAUAUGCAUCUUCAACGAUAUGAGAUCUCCAAGAACCCCCACCCCCAAAAGCAAUACUAUUAUAUGGAAUAAGGCUAAGGUUAGAGCAUUCAUCAAUCAUAUGGUUGAGAAUGUCCGGAAAGGUCAAAAGACCAAUUCCACCUUCACAAAGGUGGGGUGGGAUAAUAUUAAGAAAGGUUUAGAAUAGGAAUUCAGUCACCCAUUUGCAAGGGAGCAACUGCGUAACAAAAUGAACAAGUUAUGAAGGCAGUACAACAGCUUCAAGCGUUUGCUAGAAACGACGGGAUUCGAAUGGGAUGCAAAUGCAAGGACUACGACAACGGAAGACUCUGUGUGGGAAUCUACAAUUAAGGACAUUGAACCGGAUGUAAGUGAAGGUUGUAGUGGCGAACCCGAUAAUUCAGCUCCUCCUAGGCGACACAUUGAUAGGACUCCUACGGAUAGUAGGAGGAAGAGUCAGACACGCACACUCACGAACUCUACACAGGACUUCAGGGAGUUUGUGAGAUGGAGGAUGGAGAAGGGAAACUCCUCUGCCACUUCAGCCGUUGUCCGACCUCCAUAUCCAAUGUAUGACAGGCCACAUAGUAUUAUGAGCUGUCAAAAGCUCUUUGACUCUUUAGAAGAGCUUCCAUUGGAUUUGUAUGUCUUGGCUCAGCAUAAGAUACAUAGUGAUGCUGGUUGGCGCUUGUCAUUCGUGGAAGUUAGGGCUAACAGGAGGUUGUGGAUGAUCUAACACUUGAAGGAUAUCCCGUGAGCUACUUCAGUUGGUUUUAUUUCAUGGUCUUUUUAGAAAUUGAGCUGGUUGGGUUGGAGAUUGUAUGGACUUUUCAGAACUGAUUUGAGCUGGUUGAGUUGGUUUUAUUUCUGGGACUUAUAUAUUCCUCUUUCUAACAUACGUUUGUUGUGAACUGACCGGGAUGUUGAUACUUUAGGUGGAUGUUGCUUGUGUUUUAUGGUUUUAUGUUGGAUUCGUAAAUGUUUUUUGUUAACUUUUUAAUAUAGGAUGUGACAUAUAAUUAAAUAUGGAUAGGUAAUGAUUAUGGUUCAUAUUUAUGCUCA
This is a long non-coding RNA of Macadamia integrifolia, 3000 nucleotides long. RefSeq lists it as uncharacterized. NCBI's taxonomy places the organism in Eukaryota, Viridiplantae, Streptophyta, Magnoliopsida, Proteales, Proteaceae. The record is from RefSeq and is a predicted model, not a curated record. The transcript is spliced from 2 exons.